Molecule: ribosomal RNA, 492 nt
Filed under: Leotiomycetes sp. genotype 117
Lineage: Eukaryota; Fungi; Ascomycota; Leotiomycetes
Description: eukaryotic LSU rRNA
Rfam family: 5.8S ribosomal RNA (bases 190-343)
Source: RNAcentral
UUCCGUAGGUGAACCUGCGGAAGGAUCAUUACAGAGUUCAUGCCCUUACGGGUAGAUCUCCUAUCCUUGAAUAUUAUACCUUUGUUGCUUUGGCGGGCCGCUUCGGCUGCCGGCUUCGGCUGGUGAGUGCCCGCCAGAGGACCCUAAACUCUGAAUUACAGUGUCGUCUGAGUACUAUAUAAUAGUUAAAACUUUCAACAACGGAUCUCUUGGUUCUGGCAUCGAUGAAGAACGCAGCGAAAUGCGAUAAGUAAUGUGAAUUGCAGAAUUCAGUGAAUCAUCGAAUCUUUGAACGCACAUUGCGCCCCCUGGUAUUCCGGGGGGCAUGCCUGUUCGAGCGUCAUUAUAACCCUCAAGCCUAGCUUGGCGUUGGGGCCUGUCGUCAGACAGCUCUUAAAAUCAGUGGCGGUGCCUGUAGGCUCUACGCGUAGUAAUUUUUCUCGCGACGGAGUCCUGUAGGAUACUUGCCAACAACCCCUAAUUUUCUAUGGU